GUGUCAGCCGCCGCGGUAAUACGAAGGGGGCUAGCGUUGUUCGGAAUCACUGGGCGUAAAGCGCGCGUAGGCGGAUCGUUAAGUCGGGGGUGAAAUCCUGAGGCUCAACCUCAGAACUGCCUUCGAUACUGGCGAUCUUAGAGUCCGGGAGAGGUGAGUGGAACUCCUAGUGUAGAGGUGAAAUUCGUAGAUAUUAGGAAGAACACCAGUGGCGAAGGCGGCUCACUGGCCCGGUACUGACGCUGAUGUGCGAAAGCGUGGGGAGCAAACAGGAUUAGAAACCCCUGUAGUCC
RNAcentral lists this ribosomal RNA (293 nucleotides) under uncultured bacterium. RNAcentral's name for it is "partial 16S ribosomal RNA". It matches the Rfam family "Bacterial small subunit ribosomal RNA", at positions 505 to 796 of the family's 1533-position model. The record is from RNAcentral.